GAAUAUUGGACAAUGGGCGAAAGCCUGAUCCAGCCAUGCCGCGUGCGUGAAGAAGGUCUUCGGAUUGUAAAGCACUCUAAGUUGGGAGGAAGGGUUGUAGCUUAAUACUCUGCAAUUUUGACGUUACCGACAGAAUAAGCACCGGCUAACUAUGUGCCCUCAGCCGCGGUAAUACAGGGGGUGCAAGCGUUAAGCGGAAUUACUGGGCGUAAAGCGCGCGUAGGUGGUUUGUUAGGUUGGAUGUGAAAUCCCCGGGCUCAACCUGGGAACUGCAUCCAAAACUGGCAAGCUAGAGUAUGGUAGAGGGUGGUGGAAUUUCCUGUGUAGCGGUGAAAUGCGUAGAUAUAGGAAGGAACACCAGUGGCGAAGGCGACCACCUGGACUGAUACUGACACUGAGGUGCGAAAGCGUGGGGAGCAAACA
Molecule: ribosomal RNA, 423 nt
Filed under: uncultured bacterium
Lineage: Bacteria
Description: partial 16S ribosomal RNA
Rfam family: Bacterial small subunit ribosomal RNA
Source: RNAcentral